RNAcentral lists this transfer RNA (64 nucleotides) under Gyrodactylus lucii. RNAcentral's name for it is "tRNA-Thr". Lineage: Eukaryota; Metazoa; Platyhelminthes; Monogenea; Gyrodactylidea; Gyrodactylidae. The record is from RNAcentral.
GCUUAGUUAGUUUCAAUGUAAAAUAUGGUUUUUGUAAUACCAAGACACUUCAGGGUACUGAGCU